UCCCAGACUCCUACGGGAGGCAGCAGUGGGGAAUAUUGCACAAUGGGGGGAACCCUGAUGCAGCGACGCCGCGUGGGUGAAGAAGUCAUUCGUGACGUAAAGCCCUAUCGGCAGGGAAGAAGCAAGACGGUACCUGACUAAGAAGCCCCGGCUAACUACGUGCCAGCAGCCGCGGUAAUACGUAGGGGGCGAGCGUUAUCCGGAUUCACUGGGUGUAAAGGGAGCGUAGACGGCCAUGCAAGCCAGGGGUGAAAGCCCGGGGCCCAACCCCGGGACUGCUCUGGAAACUGCGGCGCUGGAGUACGGGAGGGGCAGGCGGAAUUCCUGGUGUAGCGGUGAAAUGCGUAGAUAUCAGGAGGAACACCGGCGGCGAAGGCGGCCUGCUGGACCGUGACUGACGUUGAGGCUCGAGAGCGUGGGGAGCAAACAGGAUUAGAUACCCUAGUAC
This 448-nucleotide ribosomal RNA is filed under the name uncultured bacterium. RNAcentral's name for it is "partial 16S ribosomal RNA". It matches the Rfam family "Bacterial small subunit ribosomal RNA", at positions 329 to 793 of the family's 1533-position model. The record is from RNAcentral.